UAAACAAUUAACUUACACCAUCCAACGCCAGGGAACUACGAGCAAUGCUUAAAACCCAAAGGACUUGACGGUGUCCCACCCACCUAGAGGAGCCUGUUCUAUAAUCGAUGAUCCCCGCUACACCUAACCAUUCCUCGCUUUUUCAGUCUGUAUACCUCCGUCGAAAGCCUACCAUGUGAACGCUUAUAGUAGGCCCAAUGAUUCUCAUCAACACGUCAGGUCAAGGUGCAGCUCACGGAACGGAAAGCAAUGGGCUACAAUUUCUAACUUAGAACAUACGAAAGACUAUGUGAAAUCCUAGUCAUGAAGGCGGAUUUAGUAGUAAAAGGAAAAUAGAGUGUUCCUUUUAACCCGGCUCUGGGACGCGUACACAC
This 374-nucleotide ribosomal RNA is filed under the name Pelophylax kurtmuelleri (Balkan frog). Its description in RNAcentral is "12S ribosomal RNA". It matches the Rfam family "Bacterial small subunit ribosomal RNA", at positions 801 to 1390 of the family's 1533-position model. The record is from RNAcentral. Lineage: Eukaryota; Metazoa; Chordata; Amphibia; Anura; Ranidae.